UAUGUUACUCAAUUCUUUGAACCCUUUCUAAGUUAUAUGCCAAAAAUCACAUAGCCAUCCGUCACCAAUUUUUUUUUUUUUUUUUAGGGAUGUGGUCUCAUUAGGUUGCCCAAGCUGGACUUGUACUCUUGGCCUCAAGAGGUCCUUCCAUCUCAGUCUCCCAAGUAGCUGGGACUACAAGCAUGCACCACUACACUCAGCCAAAUACUUUCAAUAAUUUGCCAGCUGACAACUUGAUUGGGUUCUCCUUCAGGUUUGAAGCACCCUCGAGAAGUGUCUAAAGGAGACAGUUGAUAGCCAAACAACAGUUUUGGGUUCACUGACUGAUUAUGAAAGAAGCGGUAGACUGGUAUCAAGAAUCAGUCAGGUUUUUGGAAUCCUUAGGCUUCCACGUGUGGAAAGCCUGAGCUAACCUACUGGAGGAUGAGCCAUCACCUGGAGCAGAUUCAGGCCAUCCUAGUUGAAGCCUCCCUAGGCCAAGCAACCUUCCAACUACCAGACAUUGACCAUUCAGCCUUGAACAUUCAGCACAAAGACAAAACAGACCAGACCAGAAGAGUCCCACAGAAUAGGGGAAACUAUUCAGAGAAAACUUAAGCCACUAAGUUUUAUGGUGUUUUGUUCUGUAGCAGAAGCAUACUGACAAUACAAACCGAAAUCCUUCUAAUGUAGUGGACCUUUUCAGGCCAGCAUUUUUUCCUUGAAAACCUGGAGCAUGUAUGCAUCUUACAGCAGAGAUCACUUUCACAAUGUUUGGGCUCUUGAUUUGAAUUGAUGAUGUAAUGAGCCCUCUAUCCAGAUUGUAACUAAUUACUCUGCGAAUUGACUGGAUUCCACACCCUUCUAAUAUUUUACUUUUCUCUUUUAUCAACUCUCAUUCUCUCUGCCAUGAUCAAUGGACCAACUAUGCUUAUAACCACAAAUUUUGAUAUGCUUAAACAAAUGAACAAAUAUAUUUAAUAAUUUCUUUUUUUUUUGAAAUGGUGUCUUGCUCUGUCACCCAGGCUGCAGUGCAGCAGCGUGAUCUCAGCUCACUACAACCUCCACCUCCCGGGUUCAAGUGAUUCUCCUGCCUCAGCCUCCCAAGUAGCUGGGACUACAGGCGCCCACCACCAUACCUGGCUAAUUUUUUGUAUUUUUAGUAGAGACAGGGUUUAUCCAUGUUGGCCAGGCUGGUCUCAAACUCCUGACCUCAAGUGAUCCUCCUGCCUCGGCCUCCCAAAGUGCUGGGAUUACAGAUGUGAGCCACCAUACCCAGCCAAUAAUUUCCUGAUAUAAUACAAAUGCCAAUACUAUACAAUUAAAUAGUAAAGUGAUAAAAAAUAGGAUAACAUGAUAACCACUAAUUAAUAUGUACUACAUAAUCAUCCUUUUCGUGAGUUGAAAUGUUCUUUUAGCACACUUUAUGGUUUAUCCUUUCUGGAAUACUAUUAAAUGAUCAUGAUUUUUCUCA
Long non-coding RNA from Gorilla gorilla gorilla (western lowland gorilla), 1453 nucleotides. RefSeq lists it as uncharacterized. NCBI's taxonomy places the organism in Eukaryota, Metazoa, Chordata, Mammalia, Primates, Hominidae. The transcript has 3 exons. The record is from RefSeq and is a predicted model, not a curated record.